CUCUGUUAGCAUGAACUAGGCU
Molecule: microRNA, 22 nt
Filed under: Anolis carolinensis (green anole)
Lineage: Eukaryota; Metazoa; Chordata; Lepidosauria; Squamata; Anolidae
Description: aca-miR-5444b
Source: miRBase by way of RNAcentral